AUACGUAGGGAGCGAGCGUUGUCCGGAAUUACUGGGUGUAAAGGGAGCGUAGGCGGGCAUGCAAGUCAGAUGUGAAAUACCUGGGCUCAACCCAUGGGCUGCAUUUGAAACUGCAUUUCUUGAGUGAAGGAGAGGUAAGCGGAAUUCCUGGUGUAGCGGUGAAAUGCGUAGAUAUCAGGAGGAACACCGGUGGCGAAGGCGGCUUACUGGGCUUUUACUGACGCUGAGGCUCGAAAGCGUGGGGAGCAAACAGGAUUAGAUACCCUGGUAGUCCACGCUGUAAACGAUGAUUACUAGGUGUGGGGGGACUGACCCCUUCCGUGCCGCAGUUAACACAAUAAGUAAUCCACCUGGGGAGUACGGCCGCAAGGUUGAAACUCAAAUGAAUUGACGGGG
Molecule: ribosomal RNA, 396 nt
Filed under: uncultured bacterium
Lineage: Bacteria
Description: partial 16S ribosomal RNA
Rfam family: Bacterial small subunit ribosomal RNA
Source: RNAcentral